AGAGAGAGAGAGUUCCAAGGAAGAAGAAGUGGAGAGUGGACGUAUUCUUCCCUCCUCUUCCUCCUUCUUUCCUCCUCCUCCUCCUCCUCUUCCUCACCCGUCACCGCAGCUAAGGAAGACAAAUGUGGUUGGUGAAACUUUCCAGGAGGAGGAGGAGGAGGAGGAGGAGAGGACGAAGAUGAAGAGAAGAGAGGAAAGGGUCGGAGAGAGGAACACAAGAGGAAGAGGAAGAGAAGGAAAAAAAAAUUCGCCGAAGGAGGAGAACAAGCAAGAGGCUUGUUUGGACUUGACAAGAGGAGGCAAAAAAGGAGGAGAAAGAAGAGGAAGAAAAAGAGGAAGGCGAGGAGGAAGAGACUAAACAAAGAGGAGGAGGAAGAAGAGGGAGAGAAAAAGAGAAGGAAGAGGAAAGAGAAAACAACUAUAAAGAUGUUGGCACUCCAGAGACUCACCACCACCAAGAAGAGAGAGGGGACCAGCAGGCUUGGAUGGACCUGUGCAGAAGUAUGGGAGGUACAAGUGAGAGUGAAUGACAACUGUCCUACUGCUGACUCCGACGGCAGUGUGCAAGGCUUCUCCAUCCAGGCAGCAGUGCAGGUGUUGGGGUUAGGGGCUGCAGAACAAGUGCAAGACUUCACCAUCCAGGCCGCAGCAGUGCAGGUCGUGGGCUGCAGGACAAGAAGAAUAUUCAUUGUGUGAAGUUGUUAAUCUAAUAAACGGUUGGGACAC
Molecule: RNA transcript, 726 nt
Organism: Eriocheir sinensis (Chinese mitten crab)
Lineage: Eukaryota; Metazoa; Arthropoda; Malacostraca; Decapoda; Varunidae
Exons: 4
Source: RefSeq, a predicted model, not a curated record